GACGUAGGGGGCAAGCGUUGUCCGGAAUCAUUGGGCGUAAAGCGCGUGUAGGCGGCCCGGUAAGUCCGCUGUGAAAGUCCAGGGCUCAACCCUGGAAUGCCGGUGGAUACUGUCGGGCUCGAGUCCGGAAGAGGCGAGUGGAAUUCCUGGUGUAGCGGUGAAAUGCGCAGAUAUCAGGAGGAACACCAAUGGCGAAGGCAGCUCGCUGGGACGGUACUGACGCUGAGACGCGAAAGCGUGGGGAGCAAACAGG
Molecule: ribosomal RNA, 253 nt
Filed under: uncultured bacterium
Lineage: Bacteria
Description: partial 16S ribosomal RNA
Rfam family: Bacterial small subunit ribosomal RNA
Source: RNAcentral